CUGGAGUAGGUCCCAAGGGUUGGGCUGUUCGCCCAUUAAAGAGGUACGCGAGCUGGGUUCAGAACGUCGUGAGACAGUUCGGUCCCUAUCCGCUGUGGGCGUUGGAAAUUUGAGUGGAGCUGUCCUUAGUACGAGAGGACCGGGAUGGACAUACCUCUGGUGCACCAGUUGUUCUGCCAAGGGCAUAGCUGGGUAGCUAAGUAUGGACGGGAUAAGCGCUGAAAGCAUCUAAGUGCGAAGCCCCCCACAAGAAGAGAUUUCCUCCGCAAGGUAAGACUCGUGGGAGACUACCACGUAGAUAGGUCGGAGGUGAAAGUAUGGUAACAUAUUAAGCUGACCGAUACUAAUAGGUCGAAAACUUGACCAG
This 367-nucleotide ribosomal RNA is filed under the name gut metagenome. RNAcentral describes it as "bacterial LSU rRNA". It matches the Rfam family "Bacterial large subunit ribosomal RNA", at positions 2553 to 2925 of the family's 2925-position model. The record is from RNAcentral.